GAGUUUGAUCGUGGCUCAGGACGAACGCUGGCGGCGUGCCUAAUACAUGCAAGUCGAACGAAACUUUCUUACACCGAAUGCUUGCAUUCACCGUAAGAAGUUGAGUGGCGGACGGGUGAGUAACACGUGGGUAACCUGCCUAAAAGAAGGGGAUAACACUUGGAAACAGGUGCUAAUACCGUAUAUCUCUAAGGAUCGCAUGAUCCUUAGAUGAAAGAUGGUUCUGCUAUCGCUUUUAGAUGGACCCG
Molecule: ribosomal RNA, 248 nt
Filed under: uncultured bacterium
Lineage: Bacteria
Description: partial 16S ribosomal RNA
Rfam family: Bacterial small subunit ribosomal RNA
Source: RNAcentral